CAGAGUUGUUUCUAAAAUGCAGUUCUGAUCCUGUUACUCCUCUACUUAUCAACCUUCAGCUGAUGCAAUAAUAAAGUCCAAACUCAGAAGUGUGGCAUGCUUGGCCCUUUGUGAUCUGACUUAUGACAUCACCUCCAGUUUCAUCUCUCACCACUCUCCUCCCCAUGUCGUCACACUUACCAAAUAUCUUGCAGUUCCCAGAACAUGCUAAACUCUCUUGCUUCUGUGCUUUUGCACAGGUGGUUUCCAUAGCUCCCUUUUCCCUGCCUUCCUUGUCUGAAUCACUCCCUCACUCUUCAAAGUUCAAGAUUCCCCAAGCAAGGGAAGCAGCAUCACAAAGUACAGCCUAUUAAAUCUGCUCUACCAUUUAAUAGCUGUGAGACCUUUGGCAAUUAACUUAAUUUCUUUGCCUCUGUUUUCUCACUUUAACGAUGAAGAGCACCCACCUACAAAGUUGCUGUGAGGAUCAAUGCGGUCAAUAUGUGCAAAGUGCUGAAAACAGUACCCGGCCCAUGGAAAGCACCAAAUAAGGAUUUGCUAUCAUUCGUAUUAUUAGUAAUCUUUGUGCCUAGUACAAUGCCUGACACUUAAGAGAUGCUCAAUAAACAAUUACUUUUUUGAACAAAA
Molecule: non-coding RNA, 627 nt
Organism: Equus caballus (horse)
Lineage: Eukaryota; Metazoa; Chordata; Mammalia; Perissodactyla; Equidae
Source: RefSeq, a predicted model, not a curated record